This 942-nucleotide long non-coding RNA is filed under the name Zonotrichia albicollis (white-throated sparrow). RNAcentral's name for it is "lncRNA (ENSZALG00000000867.1)". Lineage: Eukaryota; Metazoa; Chordata; Aves; Passeriformes; Passerellidae. The record is from RNAcentral.
AAAACUCCCGGGGAAAACCUUGGCGGACAGGGGGACCGGAGCAUCAGUCACCGCUCCGGCGUUUAAGAGAAGUAAUCAGCGAUAAAGUGACGUUGAUCUGCACUGUAACCUUGUGGCGUAUUUAAUUCAGUUGGAUGGUGCAGAUGAUUCUCCAACUCAACUCUACAGGAAGAAACGUCAAACUCUUCUCAAAAUCUUGAAGAGCAGGGUUACUACUUGCAGGCACAGGUGCUGUCAAGGGAGGACUCUGUUAACAAGACUGAUCAAAAUUGUUUAAUUGUUUUCCCCAGCACCUCAUAGACAUCAUUAUUUGGGCUGGGAUGGCCCAAAUUGCACCACAAAGAGAUAUUAUAGAUCCAUGAGCUCAGUGAAUCCUAAAGACAAGAGACCUUCUCAUUUUGUUGACACAGUGACAGGCUCCAGCACCUAAGCAAUGAAUACUGGCUAGCUGGGAUUCAGAAAAAUCUCAGAUUUGAGCUUGGGGAGAGUUUGCUCCAACAUAUCUCAGAAUUCAGAGUAUUUUCAGGCACCAUCAGCACUUCUGUAGUUACCCCCAGUAUUCCUUCCCAUUUCUCCCCAUUUUUACUGUUCCUUUUUCUUCAGUACUAUUUCCUUUUUCUUUUAUUGCAUCCAGGGAAAGGUCUUUUCUCUCCAAAGCCUUUGUGCUCUCAAUUUUCCUUAGCUACUUCUCCAACUUCUUUGGCUGGUUGUACUCCUUUCUGUGCGUCCUCUACGAGUGGGCAGGAAUACUCUGCCUCUUCAAAACAAGCUCUACCACUGCACCUGCCCCUUGAAAGGGUCACUCUGGGUGUCCAGGUACAGAAACAAGACCAAAAAGUUCUGCUUAAACUGAUGCUGAAGAACAUGAAAAACAAUUUCCUGGAGGAGAAAAUGAUAUGCCUGGUUUUGUCAUUAGGGAGGCUCCACCAUAUUAUGCUGUAG